AUGGCCGAAUCACUGCUUCUCCCUUUGGUGCGCGGUGUGGCCGGCAAGGCCACAGAUGCACUCGUCCAGACUGUGACCCGCAUGUGUGGCCUCGACGACGACCGUGAAACGCUGGAGCGCCAUCUGCUAGCCGUGGAGUGCAAGCUGGCCAACGCGGAGGAAAAGAGCCAGAAAAAUGCCUACCUUAAGAGCUGGAUGGAGAAGCUCAAGGCCGUUGCCUGCGAGGCCGACGACGUCCUCGACGACUUCCAGUACGAGGCACUGCGUCGUGAAGCCCAGAUCGGCAAGUCCACUUCCUGCAAGGUACUCGGCUACAUCACGCGCCGCAGCCCGCUGCUCUUCCGUUUUGCCAUGAGCAGGAAGCUCAAGGGAGUCCUUGAGAAGAUCAAUACGUUAGUCAAGGAGAUGAACAAGUUUGGCCUUGAGAAUUCUGUCCAUCAGCAGGAGCCCCAACUUCCUUGGCGGCAGACUCACUCCAAACUGGAUGAGUCUACCGACAUCUUUGGAAGAGAUGAUGACAAGGAGAGGGUAGUGAAGCUGCUGCUAGACCAGCAAGAUCAGCAGAAGGUUCAGGUGCUGCCCAUCUUUGGUAUGGGAGGUCUUGGCAAGACGGCACUUACUAAGAUGGUGUACAACGACCAAAAGGUCCAGCAGCAUUUCCAGUUGAAGAUGUGGCACUGCGUUUCAGACAGUUUUGAUGUUAUUGCUAUUGUCAAAUCGAUGAUUGAAUUGGCUAUAAAUGAUAUGCCAAAAGAAGAAAAAGAAAAGGUUACAACCGGGAAUUGGUACCUGUCUGGCAACAUCGAGCUGUUGCAGAAGAAACUUAAUGAAGUCAUUGGCCGGAAAAGAUUUUUACUUGUUCUUGAUGAUGUAUGGAACGAAGAGAAGAGGAUGUGGGAUGAUGAAUUGAAGCCACUGUUGUGUUCUCUUGGUGGCCCAGGAAGUGUUAUAGUGGUCACAUGUCGAAGCAAGCAAGUGGCCUUAAUAAUGUGCACAGUUAAUCCCCAUGAGCUAACAUUUCUGAGUGAAGAAGAUUCAUGGAAAUUGUUUUCGAACAAGGCAUUUAGCAAUGGCAUAGAGUACCAAGCAGAGUUAGAAACCACCGGAAGACGUAUUGUGAAUAAAUGUGGGGGUUUGCCUCUUGCUCUGAAGACAAUGGGUGGAUUGCUGAGCUCAAAGAGACAAGUACAGGAAUGGAAGGCCAUUGAAGAAAGUAACAUUGGGGAUAAUGUUGGAGGCAAACAUGAGGUCAUGCCCAUACUAAAGUUAAGCUACAAACACCUAUCACCUGAAAUGAAGCAAUGUUUUGCAAUUUGUGCACUUUUCCAGAAGGAUUAUGAGAUGCAGAAGGAUAUGCUGAUCCAACUAUGGAUGGCAAAUGACUUUAUUCAAGAAGAGGGAACAAUGGAUUUAACACAGAAAGGAGAAUUCAUUUUUGAUGAGUUGGUUUGGAGGUCCUUCCUCCAGGAUAAGAAAGUGAAAGCUAUAUCUGGUUCGCGUAUUUGUAGCGAUGAAUAUGAGACAGUAGUAUGUAAAAUGCAUGACUUAAUGCACGACUUAGCUAGAGAUAUUAACAAUGAAUGUGCCGCCAUAGAAGAUUUGUUUGAACAGAAGGCAUUGGUAAACAAUGUCUGUCACCUGCAAAUGUCAGAGGUUAAAUUGGAAAAGAUCUGUGGAUUGUUUGAUGGCAAAUCUCAUGUCCGAACUUUGUUAGCUCCCUCAAAUAUACACCAGGAUUUUAAGCUGCUGCCACAUGUAUCAUUACGAGCAUUGCAGUGGCAGAGUGUGCGCAUCAGUUUCAAGGCAAAGAAUGCAAAACAUUUACGGUAUCUUGACCUCUCCAAUUGUGACAUCAAUGCUAGUUUGCUAGAUUCCAUAUGUCUGUUGUAUAACCUGCAAACUUUGAGGCUCAAUCACUGCAAGGGACUACGGCAAUUUCCAGAAGACAUGAUGAUGAGCCUGAGAAAGCUCAUACAUGUUUAUCUUUAUGGAUGUUCUAAUCUGAAGCGGAUGCCUCGAAACAUUGGUCAGCUGAACAACCUUCGCACACUAACAAGAUUUAUUGUGGAUACGAGAGAUGGUUGUGGUAUUGAGGAGCUCAAAGACCUGCGACACCUUAGCAACAGGUUGGAACUGUACAACUUGAGAAAAAUAAAGAGUGUAAAUCAUGCAAAAGAAGCCAAUCUCAAGCAGAAGCAAAAUCUGAGUGAGUUGUUGUUCUGUUGGGACUUUGAAAGAUUUGACAGGACCAAAAAUGAGGCAUGUAAUGAGGAAGAAGUGUUCCAGCAUCUAGAACCUCAUAGCAAGAUCCAAAUUUUUGAGUUGUACGGAUAUGGUGGCAAAGAAAUACCACGAUGGAUGAGAUACCCUCAUAUGUUUCAGUGCUUAAGAAAACUCACAAUUUCCAACUGGACAAGGUGUAAGAAUAUACCUGUAGUAUGGCUCUCACCCUCACUGGAAUUCUUAUGCUUGAUCAACAUGGGUAAGCUGAAGACAUUAUGUGAUAAUCUUUGCAUAGAAGGUGGAGGACGCAGUACCCCUCUACAAUUUUUCCCAAAGUUGAAGGAGAUGAGCUUGGAAGAGCUACCUAGUCUAGAGGGAUGGGCAGAAAACAGUGCGGGUGUGGCCAUUGAUAGCUCAGUUAUAUUCCCGGUGCUUGAGAAGCUAAAAGUUAGCUGCUGCCCUAAGCUUGCAAGUUUUCCACUGAGCAGCCCCGUUCUCAAAGACCUGAAGUUAGCGGGAGAUUACUUGGAGGUGGAGUGUUUAUGGGAUAUUGCAAGGUUGCCUUCGAACCUUCGAACAUCCCUUGAAACUUUGUGGAUUCAAUGCUCCCCACGUUUGGUGGCGCUGCCUUCGAACCUUGGAGAUCUGGCAAAGCUGAGCGACCUACUGGUGAAUUGCUGCCCGAGCCUGAAAGGGUUGCCUGACGGGAUGGAUGGCCUCACUUCUCUUCGGAAAUUGACGAUCUCUCAUUGUCCAGCGGCGGAGGAAUUGCCGAAUGGUCUCCUUCAGCGGUUGCCAGCCCUUCACGAACUGUGCAUAAGGUGCUGCCCCGAGUUGGAAAGACGAUGCAGAGAAGGCGGGGAGUAUUUCCAGCACUUGUCUCCUAUCCCACGUAGAAGAGGAUUCAGAACUGGAGGAGAAUCCAGAAUUAUAGCACCAAAAGCAGAAACCAGCGGAAAGAAGUUUCUAAGAAGGCUCCUCCCCUCCUGUGCUCACUCCAAGUCUGACUGA
RNAcentral lists this ribosomal RNA (3234 nucleotides) under Triticum aestivum (bread wheat). Its description in RNAcentral is "partial small subunit ribosomal RNA". The record is from RNAcentral. Lineage: Eukaryota; Viridiplantae; Streptophyta; Magnoliopsida; Poales; Poaceae.